RNAcentral lists this ribosomal RNA (253 nucleotides) under uncultured bacterium. RNAcentral describes it as "partial 16S ribosomal RNA". It matches the Rfam family "Bacterial small subunit ribosomal RNA", at positions 524 to 776 of the family's 1533-position model. The record is from RNAcentral.
UACGAAGGGGGCUAGCGUUGCUCGGAAUCACUGGGCGUAAAGCGCACGUAGGCGGACUCUUAAGUCGGUGGUGAAAUCCUGGAGCUCAACUCCAGAACUGCCUUCGAUACUGGGAGUCUCGAGUCCGGGAGAGGUGAGUGGAACUGCGAGUGUAGAGGUGAAAUUCGUAGAUAUUCGCAAGAACACCAGUGGCGAAGGCGGCUCACUGGCCCGGUACUGACGCUGAGGCGCGAAAGCGUGGGUAGCAAACAGG